GCGCCCGUGGUGUAGCGGAUAACACGUCAGCCUCCGGAGCUGAAGAUCAGAGGUUCGAGUCCUCUCGGGCGCACCA
Molecule: transfer RNA, 76 nt
Filed under: Bacillota bacterium
Lineage: Bacteria; Bacillati; Bacillota
Description: tRNA-Arg
Rfam family: tRNA
About the family: Transfer RNA (tRNA) molecules are approximately 80 nucleotides in length.
Source: RNAcentral